GAUGAACGCUGGCGGCGUGCUUAACACAUGCAAGUCGAACGAUGAAGCCCAGCUUGCUGGGUGGAUUAGUGGCGAACGGGUGAGUAACACGUGAGUAACCUGCCCUUAACUCUGGGAUAAGCCUGGGAAACUGGGUCUAAUACCGGAUAGGAGCGCCUACCGCAUGGUGGGUGUUGGAAAGAUUUAUCGGUUUUGGAUGGACUCGCGGCCUAUCAGCUUGUUGGUGAGGUAAUGGCUCACCAAGGCGACGACGGGUAGCCGGCCUGAGAGGGUGACCGGGCACACUGGGACUGAGACACGGCCCAGACUCCUACGGGAGGCAGCAGUGGGGAAUAUUGCACAAUGGGCGAAAGCCUGAUGCAGCGACGCCGCGUGAGGGAUGACGGCCUUCGGGUUGUAAACCUCUUUCAGUAGGGAAGAAGCGAAAGUGACGGUACCUGCAGAAGAAGCACCGGCUAACUACGUG
Molecule: ribosomal RNA, 466 nt
Filed under: uncultured bacterium
Lineage: Bacteria
Description: partial 16S ribosomal RNA
Rfam family: Bacterial small subunit ribosomal RNA
Source: RNAcentral